GGUGCGGUAGUUCAGUUGGUUAGAAUGCCAGCCUGUCACGCUGGAGGUCGAGGGUUCGAGCCCCUUCCGCAUCGCCA
This 77-nucleotide transfer RNA is filed under the name Clostridiales bacterium. RNAcentral describes it as "tRNA-Asp". It matches the Rfam family "tRNA". Rfam says of the family: Transfer RNA (tRNA) molecules are approximately 80 nucleotides in length. Their secondary structure includes four short double-helical elements and three loops (D, anti-codon, and T loops). Lineage: Bacteria; Bacillati; Bacillota; Clostridia; Eubacteriales. RNAcentral also lists the same sequence under 6 other names. The record is from RNAcentral.